AUUGAACGCUGGCGGCAGGCCUAACACAUGCAAGUCGAACGGUAACAGGAAGAAGCUUGCUUCUUUGCUGACGAGUGGCGGACGGGUGAGUAAUGUCUGGGAAACUGCCUGAUGGAGGGGGAUAACUACUGGAAACGGUAGCUAAUACCGCAUAACGUCGCAAGACCAAAGAGGGGGACCUUCGGGCCUCUUGCCAUCGGCUGUGCCCAGAUGGGAUUAGCUAGUAGGUGGGGUAACGGCUCACCUAGGCGACGAUCCCUAGCUGGUCUGAGAGGAUGACCAGCCACACUGGAACUGAGACACGGUCCAGACUCCUACGGGAGGCAGCAGUGGGGAAUAUUGCACAAUGGGCGCAAGCCUGAUGCAGCCAUGCCGCGUGUAUGAAGAAGGCCUUCGGGUUGUAAAGUACUUUCAGCGGGAAGGAAGGGAGUAAAGUUAAUACCUUGGCUCAUUGACGUUACCCGCAGAAGAAGCACCGGCUAACUCCGUG
Molecule: ribosomal RNA, 490 nt
Filed under: uncultured bacterium
Lineage: Bacteria
Description: partial 16S ribosomal RNA
Rfam family: Bacterial small subunit ribosomal RNA
Source: RNAcentral